Molecule: ribosomal RNA, 492 nt
Filed under: uncultured bacterium
Lineage: Bacteria
Description: partial 16S ribosomal RNA
Rfam family: Bacterial small subunit ribosomal RNA
Source: RNAcentral
AGUGAACGCUGGCGGUAGGCCUAGCACAUGCAAGUCGAACGGCAGCACAGUAAGAGCUUGCUCUUACGGGUGGCGAGUGGCGGACGGGUGAGGACUACAUCGGAAUCUACUUUUUCGUGGGGGAUAACGUAGGGAAACUUACGCUAAUACCGCAUACGCCCUACGGGUGAAAGCAGGGGAUCUUCGGACCUUGCGCGAUUGAAUGAGCCGAUGUCGGAUUAGCUAGUUGGCUGGGUAAAGGCCCACCAAGGCGACGAUCCGUAGCUGGUCUGAGAGGAUGGUCAGCCACACUGGAACUGAGACACGGUCCGGACUCCUACGGGAGGCAGCAGUGGGGAAUAUUGGACAAUGGGCGCAAGCCUGAUCCAGCCAUACCGCGUGGGUGAAGAAGGCCUUCGGGUUGUAAAGCCCUUUUGUUGGGAAAGAAAAGCAGCAGGUUGAUACCCCGCUGUUCUGACGGUACCCAAAGAAUAAGCACCGGCUAACUUCGUG